UUAAAAGCAAUUAAGAGCGCAUGGCGGAUGCCUUGGCUCUCAGAGGCGAUGAAAGACGUGAUAAGCUGCGAUAAGCUUAGGGGAGGAGCAAAUAUCCUUUGAUCCUAAGAUUUCUGAAUGGGGAAACCCAGCUGGUUGAAGACCAGUUACCACUUCGGUGGGGCUAACCCAGGGAACUGAAACAUCUAAGUACCUGGAGGAAAAGAAAACAAUUAGUGAUUUCCCUAGUAGUGGCGAACGAACGGGAAAUAGCCCAAACCAACAUUGUUUCGGCAAUGUUGGGGUUGUAGGACUGCAAUGUGGACUUUAAAAUUGAAGUGGAUAUCUUCUGGAAAGUUGAGCCAUAGAGGGUGAUAGCCCCGUACACGU
RNAcentral lists this ribosomal RNA (369 nucleotides) under uncultured Cryomorphaceae bacterium. RNAcentral describes it as "bacterial LSU rRNA". It matches the Rfam family "Bacterial large subunit ribosomal RNA", at positions 1 to 382 of the family's 2925-position model. The record is from RNAcentral. Lineage: Bacteria; Pseudomonadati; Bacteroidota; Flavobacteriia; Flavobacteriales; Cryomorphaceae.